ACUCAAAUGAAUAGACGGGGGCCCGCACAAGCGGUGGAGCAUGUGGUUUAAUUCGACGCAACGCGCAGAACCUUACCAGGGCUAGACAAGGUAGGAACCUGGGAGAAAUCCUGGGGUGCUCGCAAGAGAGCCUACAUCCAGGUGCUGCAUGGCUGUCGUCAGCUCGUGUCGUGAGAUGUUGGGUUAAGUCCCGCAACGAGCGCAACCCUUAUCGUUAGUUGCCAGCAGGUAAAGCUGGGCACUCUAACGAGACUGCCGGCGUCAAGCCGGAGGAAGGUGGGGAUGACGUCAAGUCCUCAUGGCCCUCAUGUCCUGGGCUACACACGUGCUACAAUGGUACAUACAAAGCGUUGCCACCUCGCGAGAGCGCGCUAAUCGCAGAAAGUGUACCUCAGUACGGAUUGCAGUCUGCAACUCGACUGCAUGAAGUCGGAAUCGCUAGUAAUCGCUGAUCAGCAGGCAGCGGUGAAUACGUUCCCGGGCCUUGUACACACCGCCCGU
Molecule: ribosomal RNA, 501 nt
Filed under: uncultured bacterium
Lineage: Bacteria
Description: partial 16S ribosomal RNA
Rfam family: Bacterial small subunit ribosomal RNA
Source: RNAcentral